UACGGAGGGUGCAAGCGUUAUCCGGAUUUACUGGGUUUAAAGGGUGUGUAGGCGGGCCAUUAAGUCAGGGGUGAAAUCCCGGAGCUCAACUCCGGAACUGCCUUUGAUACUAUUGGUCUUGAAUGUUGUUGAGGUGGGCGGAACGGGUCAUAUAGCGGUGAAAUGCAUAGAUAUGACCCGGAACACCGAUUGCGAAGGCAGCCCGCUAAGCCAACUAUUGACGCUGAGGCACGAAAGCGUGGGGAGCGAACAGG
This 254-nucleotide ribosomal RNA is filed under the name uncultured bacterium. Its description in RNAcentral is "partial 16S ribosomal RNA". It matches the Rfam family "Bacterial small subunit ribosomal RNA", at positions 524 to 776 of the family's 1533-position model. The record is from RNAcentral.